UACGUAGGGGGCAAGCGUUGUCCGGAAUCAUUGGGCGUAAAGCGCGUGUAGGCGGCCCGAUAAGUCCGCUGUGAAAGUCCAGGGCUCAACCCUGGAAUGCCGGUGGAUACUGUCGGGCUCGAGUCCGGAAGAGGCGAGUGGAAUUCCUGGUGUAGCGGUGAAAUGCGUAGAUAUCAGGAGGAACACCGGUGGUGUAGACGGCUUUCUGGACCGUAACUGACGCUGAAACACGAAAGCGUGGGUAGCAAACAGG
This 253-nucleotide ribosomal RNA is filed under the name uncultured bacterium. Its description in RNAcentral is "partial 16S ribosomal RNA". It matches the Rfam family "Bacterial small subunit ribosomal RNA", at positions 524 to 776 of the family's 1533-position model. The record is from RNAcentral.